This is an RNA transcript of Xenopus laevis (African clawed frog), 5184 nucleotides long. It is a transcript of the gene named prominin 1, with no coding region annotated. The transcript has 31 exons. The record is from RefSeq and is a predicted model, not a curated record. Lineage: Eukaryota; Metazoa; Chordata; Amphibia; Anura; Pipidae.
AGGAGCUCAGUGGCUGCUGCAAGUGGAGCAGAGGGCUGUCUGUGCCAGGCUUGUAAGUGUUGAACGCGCGGGGCCCCUGGGAGCUGCUGGUGGCGGAUGAUGAAUGAUUCAUAGCGGGUGUGAGGCUGCAGCGCUGGUCUGUGGGAGAGCGACUCCUGGGUGAGGAGAGGAUGCGGCAGACGCGCGCUUCUUCUUGCUGCAGAGACACGGCGGGACCAGGCGAGGAGCUUGAGAUGCGGCAAUUGGCCCCAUGAUCUGCUGCCCCACGAGGAAGAGGUCGUGAAGUGACACUGAAUUUGUCCCACAAGCACGAGGAGCAGCAGGAGCCAUGGCUGGAGGUCACACAGUAUGUUGCAGCGACCUAUAAGAUCCUGCCUGCUAAUUCCCUUCCCACCUCCAAGUGAGCAGAUUGUGGAGAAGAGUCAGAGAGGGAUGAGGACAUCUGCUGCUCCCUACACUUCUCUCUAAAGGCUCAUCAGCUCCACUGCUUUCAUCUCAGACAAGCGUUUUCUUCUUUCUAAUGACAAGCCGAUGCUUUAGAAAUUGCUGAUGGCUUUCAAGCUGUACUUGGUUUUUCUACUGUUCUGUGGAUUUACUCUGUCAGAAAGAACUCUGCCCUUGAACAGUGCCCCGGCACGGCUGGAUUUUGGUUAUGUGCCCGCUGAAAGCUAUGAGACGGAUGCCUACCAUGAGCCUGGGGCAAUUGGCUUGUUAUUUCACAUAGUGCAAGGGUUCCUAUACAUUGUACAGCCAAAUGCCUUUCCCCAAGAUCUAGUGAGGAAGGUUGCCCAGCAGAAAUUUGGUGAAAUUCGCAAUGAUUAUCAAAAGCCUCCUCCUAAUCCUGCACACUGCUGCUUUCAGCCCGAAAAUGUGGUCCUCACUCUCCAGACAAUACACUAUGAAAUUGGCUUUAUCAUUGCGGCAGUACUUGGACUUGUGUUUUUGUUGCUGAUGCCGCUGGUAGGCCUGUGCUUCUGCAUGUGCCGCUGCUGUGACAACUGUGGAGGGGAGAUGCAUCAGAGGCAAAAGAAAAAUGGCGACUGCCAGAGGGGCUGCUACUCCACUUUUCUCUUUGUGACCACCUUGCUGAUCAGUGUGGGUGUGAUCUGUGCCUAUGCUGCAAAUCAGAACCUUACCAACCAGAUUAGAGGAUCAAAGAAAUUGGUACAGAGCAACUUUAAAGACUUAAAGACCCUAUUAAAUGAUGCUCCGACGCAAAUCAAUUAUGUACUGAGCAAGUUCAAUGUCACAAAGGACAAAGCCCUAUCAGAGAUGAACAAUCUUGGGCCUUUGCUUGGUGAGCGAGUCCAUGAGCGUCUUGGGAAAGAUGUCCGGCCAGCUUUUGAUGCGGUUCUUAAUAUGGCAGGAGCUAUCAAAGAAACAAAAGAAGCCCUGGAGAAUGUAAGUUUGUGUGUGGAAGUGCUGCAAGAAGCUAUUGACAGGCUGAACAACAACCUCACAGAGGCCAAGUUGCAGCUGACUAGCACACUCAGCGACCCUGCUUGUUCAGCCAACGUUGCACUUAUUCCUUGCAAUAAAAUCACCAGUUCUCUGAAUCAGCUGAACACCAAUGCAAACUUCAGCGUGCUGCCUGAUCUAAGUCACAAUCUUAUCAGAUUAAAUGAAGUCCUCCGAACUGAUCUUAGCAACUUGGUUCAGAAGGGCUAUGCAGCAUUUAACAGUACUCCUGAAAUGGUACAAAACCAAACUCGAAAUAUUGAAGGAGCAGCCAUCCCUCAUAUGAAAAAUGUUUUGGAGUCCAUCGGAGCAAACAUUACCAGCUUUUCCAAAACAGUUCCUGUUCUUCAGAUCAUGGCCAAUAUAAACAAUCAUAUUAGUCAGAGUGAGACAUAUGUUCGGGAAUUUUACCCUGUGGUGGAACAAUACGACUUCUAUAGGUGGCUGGGCUCUCUUGUUCUCUGCUGUAUGGUGUCCCUCAUCGUUGUUUUCUACUGCCUGGGAUUGCUUUGUGGCACCUGUGGGUAUGAUCAGCACUCAUCUCCCACAACAAGAGGCUGCAUCACCAACACCGGAGGGAACUUCCUUAUGGCGGGCGUUGGAUUCAGCUUUAUCUUCUCUUGGAUACUCAUGCUCAUUGUGGUCGUUACCUUCCUCGCCGGAGGAAAUGUGCAAAAACUGGUUUGUGAGCCCUUUCAGGAGAGAUCUCUGUUCAAGGUUUUGGAUACACCCUACCUGAUAAACUCCCAGUGGAAAAAUUACCUUUCUGGAAUACUGUAUCAAAAUCCCAAUAUGAAUUUGACAUUUGAAAAGGUUUACAGUGACUGCAAAGAAAACAAGGGAAUUUUCACUGCACUUCAGAUUGACAAUCUUUUGAAUCUUAACGAAUUUCUAAACAUCAACAUGUAUAUUGAUGACAUUUCUGCAAAAAUUGAAACACUAAAUUUAGACUUGAGUACUAUUGUUUUGCUGGAUGAAAAAGGAAAAAGAAAUUUAGAAGAUUUUAGUUCUACGGGGCUUGAUGAAAUCGAUUUUGAUGCUUUCCUGUCAGAGGUAGCCAAAAGCAAUACAAAGGUAGAUCUCUUGGCAUUCGCUAAUGAAUUGGAGGAAAAUGCAGACUUGCUGCCAAAAGGAGCAUUAGGCAAUGCGUUAAAAGGACAUGCAAAUAGUAUACGGACGAUACAUAUUCAGCAGGUUGUGCCACUGGAGCAGUCAAUGAAAUAUGUCAAAGCUCGGAUCACGCUCAAUCAAAGCAUUAAGCUGCUGCAGAGAACAUCCUUUGAUAUCGAGGGGAAGGUACUGGAUGUUAUCACAGCUGUGGAGGCUGCACAGAAUCUAAUUAACAACAAUGCUUCCUUAAUUAUAAAACAGGAGUCCAAAAAGUUAAUGGAUGAAGUCAUUGGCUACUUUAUUCAGUAUGUCCAGUGGGUAAAGGAUUCUAUCGCCUUCGACGUAGCCGGCUGCAAGCCCAUCGCCAAUGUAGUGGACACUGCAGUCGAUGUGUUUCUGUGCAGCUAUAUAGUAGACUCUGUGAAUUCCUUUUGGUUUGGUUUGGGAGGAGCAACUGUGCUUUUAAUUCCAGCCAUCAUCUUUGCAAUCAGAUUAGCAAAAUUCUAUCGCAGGAUGGACACCGAAGAUGUUUAUGAUGAUGUUGAAACUGUUCCCAUGAAAAAUUUGGAAAAUGGUAAUAAUGGUUAUCAUAAUGAGUAUUUAUAUGGUAUUCACAAUCCCAUUAUGACAAGCAUGUCUUCAUAUGACACAGUGAAUAGGUUCCCUCGAGCCUCUGCCCCACCAAGACAGGAUGAUUGAUGACAAUUACUGUAUCCAGUGGUUUGAGAGUGUGAAGUGCAACUGAACAGUGGUAGAAGACCCUGGAAAUACUGGUGCAGGGAUUAAAGAGAGAAGACACAAUUGCAGCCUGCAUCACUUUAUCCGAUGGAACCUAGUGGAUAAUUUGGUGAAUUCACAUCCAUCUUGAACAAUUGCCCUGACCGGCAGAAGGGGGCAAUAUGGAGAAAUGACUUUCAGAAAAUAAUCUGCCAAACAUAAACACACAACAGUGGGGUUUGAUGGGUUAAUACCAAAUGUUUACACCACUACUAGUUUUUGUAUCAGGUAUUUUUGUACUAUAUUCACUGCUGAAUUAGGAAUGCUGUUUUCUGUAUAUCUGUAAAAGGCUCUGGGGCACAAUGUUCAUAGUUGCACAAUUGCAGUCAGCUAUAGUAACCAAUCAGAAGUUAGCUAUGGUCGGUAAGUUGCAAGCAAAUCUCUGAUUAUGGGCCGCCGCCCUGCAGCAAAUGUGACCAUUGUUAGUAAGGAAGCCUAAAAUUGUCUUUAGAAUAGGGAUGCACUAAAUCCAGGAUCCGGUUCGGGAUUAGGCCAGAAUUCUGCCUUUUUCAGCAGGAUUUAAAUUUGGCCGAAUCUUCGUACCAGACCAUACUGAAGCCUAAUUUGCAUAUGCAGAUUGGGAAGGGAAAUCAUAUAAUUUUUUGUCAAACAAAUGUUUUUUCCACUUUUUCCCUUCCCGUCCCUAAUUUGCAAAUGCAAAUUAUGAUUUGGUUCGGUAUUCGUCUGAAUCUUUCCUGAAGGAUUCGGCCAAAUCCUAAAUAGUGGAUGUGCUGCAUCCCAACUUUAAAAUUCAUCUUAUCCCAACAGCCAAUGGUUUUGAAUUAAUAUCUGAACAUUUUAUGCAUUUUCAACACAUACAACAGGGGCUGUAAGCUUUUGCGUGUUAAAGCAGCUGCAGGUGCAUUUUCUAAUUAUCGUUCAUUAAUAUCGUCAGUUCACACCUCUGUUAUUCCACGUUCAAUUUAUUAUUUAACAAUGAAAAGUUAAUUCUGUUAAUAUUACCGGUUGUUUGGGAAAUCGUUUCUGCACAUACUUGCUUCUGUGAUUUCCAUUUGUACUAUAAAUCUCACUUCUUUUUUAUUGCAAAAAAAAAAAAAAAACAUAAUACAAAUACUGUGAGAUAUGUAUUUUCCAAAUAUGUCACUUUAAUGGGAGUUAAAAACCACAGAGUUGGAAGUGUUUUGCCUCCUUCUAUGUGAUUGUUAUUCGUCCGGUAUAUUAGAAAUAGUUCUCUAAUUAUAGGGGGUACAAGACCCUGAGACUACAGGAGGUGCAGUAAGGGCAGGUGAGGUCACCUGUGAUUUGCAGGUCCCAGGAAUAUUUAUAUGGGGGGCCCUGAAGUUACACCUCUGAUUAACACUCCAGAUGAACUUCAGGAAAAAAAGAAGUGGCUACGUUUUUGUAUUCCCACAUUUGGAAUCCAUGACCGUAGAAAGUUGAUACCCUUUAUUGUUCAACUACAGAUGUCAUUGAACUACAACCUCACUGGUAUGCUAGGGGUUGUGGAUCACUGCAAAUAUCUCCCAACCUGCUAGUGACCAUUCCCAUGUAUGACCAGUAAGUCUCUUUGUCAACCAUGUUACAAUCCUGCAACUAGAAGAGAAUUGCUCUUGCCCCGCAGAUGAUUUUCAGAUAGAUACUCUUGUUAAUGUACAGACUGUAAAUUAGUCAUGCAAGGUGCUAUAUACCCCUUAAAGUGAAUAUAUGCCAUGUGUGCUGUCAGAACCAUCAUUUAUAUCCCUUUCAGCAGGCGUGAAGUUCCGUCCUACUCCAUGCCGAGGACAUUUCUUUCCUGUAUAUCUCAGAUAAAGAUGGCAAUAUGUCAGCACCGUGUAUCCAACAUGACUUGCUCCAUUAAAGCCAAGCCUGAUGAAUAUA